GAUGAACGCUGGCGGCGCGCCUAACACAUGCAAGUCGAACGGUUAAAGCACCUUUUAGGUGUGUAUAAAGUGGCGAACGGCUGAGUAACACGUGGGCAACCUGCCCUCCUCUUGGGGAUAGCCUCGGGAAACCGAGGAUAAUACCCGAUACUUCAAUGUGGCCGCAUGACGACAUUGAGAAAGCUUUUGCGGAGAAGGAUGGGCCCGCGGCCUGUUAGCUUGUUGGUGGGGUAGAGGCCUACCAAGGCAAUGAUGGGUAGCUGGGUUGAGAGACCGACCAGCCAGAUUGGGACUGAGACACGGCCCAGACUCCUACGGGAGGCAGCAGUGGGGAAUCUUGCACAAUGGGCGAAAGCCUGAUGCGGCGACGCCGCGUGCGGGACGAAGGCCUUCGGGUUGUAAACCGCUUUCAGCAGGGACGAGGCGAUAAGUGACGGUACCUGCAGAAGAAGCCCCGGCUAACUACGUGCCAGCAGCCGCGGUAAUACGUAGGGGGCAAGCGUUAUCCGGAUUCAUUGGGCGUAAAGCGCUCGUAGGCGGUCUGUUAGGUCGGGAGUUAAAUCCGGAGGCUCAACCUCCGCCCGCUCCCGAUACCGGCAGACUUGAGUUUGGUAGGGGAAGGUGGAAUUCCUAGUGUAGCGGUGGAAUGCGCAGAUAUUAGGAAGAACACCAGUGGCGAAAGCGGCCUUCUGGGCCAUAACUGACGCUGAGGAGCGAAAGCUAGGGGAGCAAACAGG
Molecule: ribosomal RNA, 737 nt
Filed under: uncultured Atopobium sp.
Lineage: Bacteria; Bacillati; Actinomycetota; Coriobacteriia; Coriobacteriales; Atopobiaceae
Description: bacterial SSU rRNA
Rfam family: Bacterial small subunit ribosomal RNA
Source: RNAcentral